CACAAGCGGUGGAGCAUGUGGUUUAAUUCGAUGCAACGCGAAGAACCUUUACCUGGUCUUGACAUCCACGGAAGUUUUCAGAGAUGAGAAUGUGCCUUCGGGAACCGUGAGACAGGUGCUGCAUGGCUGUCGUCAGCUCGUGUUGUGAAAUGUUGGGUUAAGUCCCGCAACGAGCGCAACCCUUAUCCUUUGUUGCCAGCGGUCCGGCCGGGAACUCAAAGGAGACUGCCAGUGAUAAACUGGAGGAAGGUGGGAUGACGUCAAGUCAUCAUGGCCCUUACGACCAGGGCUACACACGUGCUACAAUGGCGCAUACAAAGAGAAGCGACCUCGCGAGAGCAAGCGGACCUCAUAAAGUGCGUCGUAGUCCGGAUUGGAGUCUGCAACUCGACUCCAUGAAGUCGGAAUCGCUAGUAAUCGUGGAUCAGAAUGCCACGGUGAAUACGUUCCCGGGCCUU
Molecule: ribosomal RNA, 458 nt
Filed under: uncultured Enterobacteriaceae bacterium
Lineage: Bacteria; Pseudomonadati; Pseudomonadota; Gammaproteobacteria; Enterobacterales; Enterobacteriaceae
Description: bacterial SSU rRNA
Rfam family: Bacterial small subunit ribosomal RNA
Source: RNAcentral